UCUCCGUUGGUGAACCAGCGGAGGGAUCAUUACUGAGUGUUACAACUCCAAACCCUUUGUGAAUCUACCUCUCGUGCCUCGGCGGCGGGCGCCUCGCGCGCCGCCGGGGGACCGAAGCACCUGAAUUUGCAAGUGGCAUUUCUCUGAGUGGCGCAAGCAAAUCAAUCAAAACUUUCAACAACGGAUCUCUUGGUUCUG
Molecule: unclassified non-coding RNA, 198 nt
Filed under: plant metagenome
Description: partial contains small subunit ribosomal RNA, internal transcribed spacer 1, and 5.8S ribosomal RNA
Source: RNAcentral